Molecule: ribosomal RNA, 110 nt
Filed under: uncultured eukaryote
Lineage: Eukaryota
Description: partial small subunit ribosomal RNA
Source: RNAcentral
UGUCCUCUUGCUGGUCGCAAUCCAGUUUCAAUAUCUCGUCAUGAGCGGUCGAUUCCGGCUUUGGCGCGAACAUCGGGCGACGGCGGUUGUUGUUGCAGUCCUGCUGGUCU